GUCGUGUCUCGUCAUGUGUGUUCGGGAGUUUCUCUAUUCUUGUAUUUGCUCUUUUCUCUCGUGAUUUUGCUUUGCUUCUCUUCAUGUCCGUAGACUCUUCGCGUUGUGUGGUGGUAUGUUUGUGUGUAACAACGGAACUUUCGCUGCAAGGUUGGAGGGGGUGGGCGUCGAGUGUGUUGUUUAUCAGCUGUGAUCUGUGCGUGUGAAACUUUUUCGGUGUGCUGAAACGGUUCUGCAGUGCCAUGGUGAACGUUGAGAGGUGUUGGCACGGAAGACAGAGCGGGAAAAGGUUCACGACAACUAUGCGGUGAGGAGGAUAUCAACGGAUUGUGCAUUUACAGUUAGCGGGUGAGCACACGCUGCACCUCGUAGGAGAACCUGGUCAUGGGUAUCGGAGAAUGCAUAUCGUAUGCCGGAAUCGUGCUUGGCCCUGAACACUGACUCUGCUCGAUCACGGGUUCCAAAUUGGUCAUUACGUUACCGGCGGCUUGCCAGCAAUCAGCAUUGGGUGUUCUUUUUCCGUUCAGUUCUUCCUACCGUCCUUCUGUGUAUAAAGUGCCUUCCAUUAACAUCUCCCGACAGCAAUGGUUGCUGCUAGCACGGAUUGUGAUGGUGCUGUUGCUGAAGAGGAAUGUUGUGUUGCCUGGUUGCACUGGACAGGAUGGUUCACACAGUGUAGUCAAUCUCCUGUUGGUGUCUAUUGUUCCCUUCGAGCCGGAGGCCCAUCCCGGCCGCUCAGUGCGAUAGUGUUAGAUGCUAGAAAUACAAGAUGUAAAUAUAAAAUGGUUACUUUACAUGUUAAUACAGAAGAGGCGAUUAUAUAGGUUAUAGAA
Long non-coding RNA from Anopheles stephensi (Asian malaria mosquito), 833 nucleotides. RefSeq lists it as uncharacterized. The transcript is spliced from 3 exons. The record is from RefSeq and is a predicted model, not a curated record. Lineage: Eukaryota; Metazoa; Arthropoda; Insecta; Diptera; Culicidae.